Gallus gallus (chicken) is the source of this 389-nucleotide long non-coding RNA. The record is from Ensembl. NCBI's taxonomy places the organism in Eukaryota, Metazoa, Chordata, Aves, Galliformes, Phasianidae.
GGUUUUGGCACCUGGUAGAAGUGUUUACUGAAAGCUGCUUUCACCACCUCUAUCUUGCUGGUAGCUCUGUCCUUACCCUGUAGUAGCAGCAGGUUGGGGACAAGCCCAGGGUGUGCUGAUGCUCUGUGCAGACCCAAGGAAUGGAGCUGAUGGUGCUGGCACCAGAUGUGCCACUCCUGGCUGAGCCACAGACUAUCCUGUGGGAUGGUGCUUCAGGUGACUGCAGCUUUUAAGGGAGGAGGAGCCUGCUGGACCCCUCGUUUAUUGAAAUUUGCCCUGCCAAUCCAUAUCUGGAAACAGAAAACUGUAGAAGCCAAAGGGAAACAAUCAAGACGCUGAAAACGUUAAACCACGGGAGCAGACCAGCUGAAGGUGAUAGCAAAUUCUCC